AAAGAAGGCAUCUUCUUGUUUUUAAAGACCUAGCAAUAGGUAUGCUUAGGGAGGAGCUUGCGUCACAUUAGUUAGUUGGUGGGGUAAAGGCCUACCAAGACUAUGAUGUGUAGCCGGGCUGAGAGGUUGAACGGCCACAUUGGGACUGAGACACGGCCCAAACUCCUACGGGAGGCAGCAGUAGGGAAUUUUCGGCAAUGGAGGAAACUCUGACCGAGCAACGCCGCGUGAACGAUGAAGUAUUUCGGUACGGUAAAGUUCUUUUAUUAGGGAAGAAUAAAUGAUGGAAAAAUCAUUCUGACGGUACCUAAUGAAUAAGCCCCGGCUAACUAUGUGCCAGCAGCCGCGGUAAUACAUAGGGGGCAAGCGUUAUCCGGAAUUAUUGGGCGUAAAGGGUGCGUAGGCGGUUAAAUAAGUUUAUGGUCUAAGUGCAAUGCUCAACAUUGUGAUGCUAUAAAAACUGUUUAGCUAGAGUAAGAUAGAGGCAAGUGGAAUUCCAUGUGUAGUUGGUAAAAUGCGUAAAUAUAUGGAGGAACACCAGUAGCGAAGGCGGCUUGCUGGGUCUUUACUGACGCUGAGGCACGAAAGCGUGGGGAGCAAACAGGAUUAGAUACCCUGGUAGUCCACGCCGUAAAACGAUGAGUACUAAACGUUGGGUAAAACCAGUGUUGAAGUUAACACAUUAAGUACUCCGCCUGAGUAGUACGUACGCAAGUAUGAAACUUAAAGGAAUUGACGGGACUCCGCACAAGCGGUGGAUCAUGUUGUUUAAUUCGAAGGUACCCGAAAAUCCUCACCAGGUCCUUGACAUGCUUCUGCAAAGCUGUAGAAACACAGUGGAGGUUAUCAGUUGCACAGGUGGUGCAUGGUUGUCGUCAGCUCGUGUCGUGAGAUGUUGGGUUAAGUCCCGCAACGAGCGCAACCCUUAUUGUUAGUUACCAGCACGUAAUGGUGGGGACUUUAGCAAGACUGCCAGUGAUAAAUUGGAGGAAGGUGGGGACGACGUCAAAUCAUCAUGCCCCUUAUGACCUGGGCUACAAACGUGAUACAAUGGCUGUUACAAAGGGUAGCUGAAGCGCAAGUUUUUGGCGAAUCUCAAAAAAACAGUCUCAGUUCGGAUUGAAGUCUGCAACUCGACUUCAUGAAGUGGAAUCGCAAGUAAUCGGGAAUUAGC
This 1174-nucleotide ribosomal RNA is filed under the name Candidatus Phytoplasma zeae. Its description in RNAcentral is "bacterial SSU rRNA". It matches the Rfam family "Bacterial small subunit ribosomal RNA", at positions 181 to 1353 of the family's 1533-position model. The record is from RNAcentral. Lineage: Bacteria; Bacillati; Mycoplasmatota; Mollicutes; Acholeplasmatales; Acholeplasmataceae.